GCUUCCGCAGCUCAAAGGCAGAGCAUCUGACUUUUUCAUCAGUUGAUUGUGAGUUCGAGUCUCACCGGAGGCACCA
Molecule: transfer RNA, 76 nt
Filed under: Paenibacillus sp. P26
Lineage: Bacteria; Bacillati; Bacillota; Bacilli; Caryophanales; Paenibacillaceae
Description: tRNA-Lys
Rfam family: tRNA
About the family: Transfer RNA (tRNA) molecules are approximately 80 nucleotides in length. Their secondary structure includes four short double-helical elements and three loops (D, anti-codon, and T loops).
Source: RNAcentral